Regulatory RNA element from Lactobacillus pasteurii, 56 nucleotides. It matches the Rfam family "L17 ribosomal protein downstream element". The record is from Rfam. NCBI's taxonomy places the organism in Bacteria, Bacillati, Bacillota, Bacilli, Lactobacillales, Lactobacillaceae.
UAAGCGUGAUGAUGAUGGCGAAAGCUUAGUCUAGCUUAGAUGUGUUUUAUCUCAUC